RNAcentral lists this ribosomal RNA (1371 nucleotides) under Salmonella enterica subsp. enterica serovar Newport. RNAcentral's name for it is "partial 23S ribosomal RNA". It matches the Rfam family "Bacterial large subunit ribosomal RNA", at positions 1589 to 2925 of the family's 2925-position model. The record is from RNAcentral. Lineage: Bacteria; Pseudomonadati; Pseudomonadota; Gammaproteobacteria; Enterobacterales; Enterobacteriaceae.
AGCAACAAAUGCCCUGCUUCCAGGAAAAGCCUCUAAGCAUCAGGUAACAUCAAAUCGUACCCCAAACCGACACAGGUGGUCAGGUAGAGAAUACCAAGGCGCUUGAGAGAACUCGGGUGAAGGAACUAGGCAAAAUGGUGCCGUAACUUCGGGAGAAGGCACGCUGACACGUAGGUGAAGUGAUUUACUCAUGGAGCUGAAGUCAGUCGAAGAUACCAGCUGGCUGCAACUGUUUAUUAAAAACACAGCACUGUGCAAACACGAAAGUGGACGUAUACGGUGUGACGCCUGCCCGGUGCCGGAAGGUUAAUUGAUGGGGUCAGCGCAAGCGAAGCUCCUGAUCGAAGCCCCGGUAAACGGCGGCCGUAACUAUAACGGUCCUAAGGUAGCGAAAUUCCUUGUCGGGUAAGUUCCGACCUGCACGAAUGGCGUAAUGAUGGCCAGGCUGUCUCCACCCGAGACUCAGUGAAAUUGAACUCGCUGUGAAGAUGCAGUGUACCCGCGGCAAGACGGAAAGACCCCGUGAACCUUUACUAUAGCUUGACACUGAACAUUGAGCCUUGAUGUGUAGGAUAGGUGGGAGGCUUUGAAGCGUGGACGCCAGUCUGCGUGGAGCCGACCUUGAAAUACCACCCUUUAAUGUUUGAUGUUCUAACGUGGACCCGUGAUCCGGGUUGCGGACAGUGUCUGGUGGGUAGUUUGACUGGGGCGGUCUCCUCCUAAAGAGUAACGGAGGAGCACGAAGGUUGGCUAAUCCUGGUCGGACAUCAGGAGGUUAGUGCAAUGGCAUAAGCCAGCUUGACUGCGAGCGUGACGGCGCGAGCAGGUGCGAAAGCAGGUCAUAGUGAUCCGGUGGUUCUGAAUGGAAGGGCCAUCGCUCAACGGAUAAAAGGUACUCCGGGGAUAACAGGCUGAUACCGCCCAAGAGUUCAUAUCGACGGCGGUGUUUGGCACCUCGAUGUCGGCUCAUCACAUCCUGGGGCUGAAGUAGGUCCCAAGGGUAUGGCUGUUCGCCAUUUAAAGUGGUACGCGAGCUGGGUUUAGAACGUCGUGAGACAGUUCGGUCCCUAUCUGCCGUGGGCGCUGGAGAACUGAGGGGGGCUGCUCCUAGUACGAGAGGACCGGAGUGGACGCAUCACUGGUGUUCGGGUUGUCAUGCCAAUGGCACUGCCCGGUAGCUAAAUGCGGAAGAGAUAAGUGCUGAAAGCAUCUAAGCACGAAACUUGCCCCGAGAUGAGUUCUCCCUGAGACUUAAAGUCUCCUGAAGGAACGUUGAAGACGACGACGUUGAUAGGCCGGGUGUGUAAGCGCAGCGAUGCGUUGAGCUAACCGGUACUAAUGAACCGUGAGGCUUAACCUUACAACGCCGAA